CGAAACCGUACCGAACCAAAAUAGUAAAUACCGAACCGUACCGAAAUAUUUUGGUAUGGUAUUUGGUAUACACAAUUGAUACACCGAAUACCGAAAUACCGAACCAAAAUUCUUACAUACCGAACCGAAAUACCGAACGCCCACCCCUAAUGGAAAGUGCAAUAGGCUCAAAGAUAAGAACCUUAAAAGUUAAAACCGGUCAAGUUUAAAUCUGAUAAUAAAUAAAACUCUUUGUGAGCUCGCCUGAAAUACAGUGGUUCAGACUUCAGUUCGAUUGUUGUGAAUCCCUUUGCUACACACACAAAUAAGGAGAUGUUUGAGCUCUUGUACGUUCUUCUUAUUCAUCGAUCAGCACACAAGAUUAAUGAAUUCUCGCAAUGGGAAUAAAGGAAAAUGAAGCUACAAACUUUGUGCGACGAAAGUUGGAAAAUAUUCUAAUGCCUAGUAAAAGUUGUGUUUCCAAAGAAUCAAUGCAACUUUGAACCAACUGCGAACUAAAACAGAUUAUAAUUGCAAACUUUAUAUACCUCUUAUAACAAGACAUGGACAAUUUAUUUUUCGUACUAACUUUGUGUUCUCUGGAAAGCAGGGGCGGAGCUAGAGAAUGGGAGCGGGUUCGGCUGAACCCAAUAGCUUUAGUUCGAACUUUGUGUUUGUCUUAAAAAGUUCAAUUAAUACAUGUAAAUUAUUAAUUUAGAAUCCAAUAGCUUAAAACUGUUAGAAUCCCAAACCCAUAAACUUGUAAUCCUGGCUCUGCCUCUCUGCUGGACAAAGAUACAGCUUGGAGACAAUGUUAAGAGCCAAGAUUCAUAAGGCACGCCGUGGAAUUAUUCCACUGGAAUAUGGCUGGCUUUAUUGAAUAUUGAGAGUUUAGAGUUGCAAGCCUGGCUUUACUAGCAACAAAUCAGCACAAUUACAAGGCGUAGAUGAUCUCCAUUUUUCAUUCUUCUCAGUUCUUAUGGUUUUUAUGAUGUCAACAUUAAAGAGACAAUCACAUGGUUUUGAGAGAAAAUCACUCAUGGUGUUUAAACCAAACUAACUAUAUACUUUAGGUAUCCGCUAAUCAUGGUUAACUGAUAUGUUUUCUCACUUUAAUUAUGUGUUUAGAUUAGUAUAAUCGUCAAAAGAAUAAGCGGAAACACUCUUCGCAAAAUAACUUUUCUAGUUUCCCUCUUAUGAGCGUCACAAAUGGCUUUCAUUAUGAUUUUGUUAUGAAAUAAAUAGAGUGGGAAAUAAUGAAGAAGAUAAAGCAAAAGGUAACAAUAUACAUUGCAUUAAUAUUCACCUAUAUUAAUAUAGGUGCAGUUUUAGGGGUUUUUUAUGCGCUUGUACAUAUCUUUUCCCCUAUAAUAAGUUUGUUUAAUUACCCAAAAAAAAAAGAUCCAUCCAUUAAUUUGUUCACCUCAUCGAAAAACAUCAUUAUUAUUCAUCUCAAAAAUCCAUACAUAUUAAACUUUUCCAUCUAACUUUUGACAAAAUUUCUUUCUGGGAGCAAGGGCUAAGUCAAACAGUACAGAGAUAAGUUAUCGACAUGUAACACUAGAGAGAUCAAGAGAAGCUUAUGAUAUAGUUAAAAGAAAAGGGUAUGCAAGUUUGUGCAACAUGAUAACCCCGGGCUAACACAUUAUAACUGAAAAACUUGCCUCAAGAAUAUAUUCAUAGAAAUGACGUAAAGAAGUGAAAGAAAACCAAUAGAAGAAAGGAUGAAAAAGACCAUAAAAGGAUGACAAGAAAGUAAGUACAAUACAAAAUUUGAAAGCAAAAGCCGAUCAUUAUAUAACUUGUAUAAUACAUCUGGUAAUGGAUAGGUUAUGCACUAUAUAUUAGAUAGCCCUUGAAAGGAAAGCCAACUCUCGGACUCGGACAUAGUUAGCAAAAAAAGCAUGAUGUUCAAGAAUUUAAGUAGAUUAGCUAUGAACGUGGUGACCUCUUAUGAUUUAUGACAAAGGAAAGUGAUAAAACAUCUCAAAAUUAUGAAGAAUUAUCCAAGAAAUUCAUAAUUAUAAGUAGAGGAGAAAAUUAAAACUACACAAAUUACACGACUCCCUCUAUUUGACGUAAUUUGACUUGUAACAAAGUUAAAAAAGAAAGACUUUAGAAUCUUGUGUGGUCUUAAACAUGCCACAAGAUUACUGUGAUAAUAAAAACAUGUUUCAAAUUGAAAAUUUAAAGUUAAAUUGAUUCCAAAUAUAUAAAGGUUAUUAUUAACAGACUAAUAAGCAAAUAAAAAGUACUAUCACAUAAACUGCAACACAGGAGUAUCAAUGAAGUUGCGGAAGAUGGAAGGGAAUGCUACAUAUGUAACAAAGAAUUUGCUGUUAGAGUAAUAUUAGGUAUUUGUGACCAUUGAUUGUAGAAAGUAUCCUCCCAACAAUUAACCACUGCAAUAGAUGAACGACAAAAUUGUGCAGAAUGUUACAAUAAUUUACUUGAAAUGUAGUUUAUAUAUAUUACUAUUAUCAUGUAUCAGCACAAAGCCAAGGCGGCUUAAUGUUAUAAGAAGAAUAAGAAGAGGAGAAAUUAUGAAUGUGCAAUGUAAAAAAGCUUAGCCCAACAAAGUACAAUAAAUGAAUAGCUUGAUUAUUUGAAUUUUGAAGGAGUGCAUCUUUCUUUUCUAGCCCUUUCAAAAAUAGAUCAGCGAACAGAAUACUUAAAUGGAGUUCUAACCAAUCUAAACCACUUUUGGAAGAAUCUCUAUUUCGUUAUAUAUUGCAGGCCAAAAUAUUAAAAAAGGAAGUAUGAAAAAAAGAGGGUCUUAAGCAGAAAUCACAUGAAAUUCUUUAAGCAAAGUUCUUUUAGGUCCGAGUCCUUAGGUCAGUCAAUGUUCUUUAAGCAGAAAUCACAUAAAAUGCAACUUUUAGAACUGGUGUUAGGCUCUAAUUAAAAUCACCAUAUAUAUAACAUUCGUUCUAAAUUAAUUAUUUGACAUUCUAGAAACAAAAUAUCCUGAUUGCUUGUCUGAAACCCUGACAGAUUUUCAUUUUCUCUAUAGCAUGAAAACUCUUUUAAGGAGAAGUUAGAUCAAGUGCUUCUUAGGCUAGGCUUAACUCAUAAGAAAUAAGCUAUACGUUACUUAUGAAUAGGGUUGUCUUUAAUUACCUUUGCUUAAUUAUCUCCGAGAAGCUAAGCUGCCCAUCAAAAUCAACAAUCUUUCACUACAUCAGCCUGAAAAUAUUAUUAACAACUGUUAUUUAAAAGCCCUAAAUAUAUAGGGCACUACCUACGAUCCAAGGCAGGCAAAGGUCGAUGUUCUAAAAUAGGUUCAGUUGAAUCCCAUUCGAUAAAUUAAAAAAAUUAUAAAAUGCAUAUAAAUAAAAAUGGUUGGUGUAUUUAUAAAAAAUUGUUAAAACCCCUUGUAACACUUUUAGUGUAUCGUAAAUAUAUGGUUCAAAAAUUCCUUUAAGUAAUAGGUUUGAAUCCCAAGUAUAACACUUACUAACAUUUUUUCAGAUCCCCUUGUUAGAACUUCUAACUCUGCGAUUGUUCCAAGGUUUUAUCAAAAAUGCCAUUCACCUGCAAUUGAACCCGCACCUCCUUUCCUUUCAUUUCCUUCUUAAGAUAUAAGGAACCAUAGAGAAACAAGAAAGAAAGAGAGAAUAAUAGAGGUGCAGGUGCAAAUGCAGAUAAAGGCAACAUUUUGGUUUCUUCACCAUGAGUAUUUCGCACUCAUCUUUUUCUUGCUCAAAGACUUGGCUGUCUUC
This 3701-nucleotide long non-coding RNA is filed under the name Nicotiana tabacum (common tobacco). RNAcentral describes it as "long non-coding RNA (NTAB_LNC003703)". Lineage: Eukaryota; Viridiplantae; Streptophyta; Magnoliopsida; Solanales; Solanaceae. The record is from RNAcentral.